This 72-nucleotide transfer RNA is filed under the name Marmota marmota marmota (Alpine marmot). It matches the Rfam family "tRNA". From Rfam's summary of the family: Transfer RNA (tRNA) molecules are approximately 80 nucleotides in length. RNAcentral also lists the same sequence under 2 other names. Lineage: Eukaryota; Metazoa; Chordata; Mammalia; Rodentia; Sciuridae. The record is from Rfam by way of RNAcentral.
GGGGAUGUGGCUCAGUGGUAAAGCACUUGCCUAGCACGUGUGAGGGCCUGGGUUCCAUCCCCAGCAUCACAA